CUGGCGGCGGCCUACACAUGCNAGUCGAGCGGAUGAAGGGAGCUUGCUCCCUGAUUCAGCGGCGGACGGGCGAGUAAUGCCUAGGAAUCUGCCUGGUAGUGGGGGACAACGUCUCGAAAGGGACGCUAAUACCGCAUACGUCCUACGGGAGAAAGCAGGGGACCUUCGGGCCUUGCGCUAUCAGAUGAGCCUAGGUCGGAUUAGCUAGUUGGUGAGGUAAUGGCUCACCAAGGCAACGAUCCGUAACUGGUCUGAGAGGAUGAUCAGUCACACUGGAACUGAGACACGGUCCAGACUCCUACGGGAGGCAGCAGUGGGGAAUAUUGGACAAUGGGCGAAAGCCUGAUCCAGCCAUGCCGCGUGUGUGAAGAAGGUCUUCGGAUUGUAAAGCACUUUAAGUUGGGAGGAAGGGCAGCUAAUUAAUACUUCGCUGUUUUGACGUUACCGACAGAAUAAGCACCGGCUAACUCUGUGCCAGCAGCCGCGGUAAU
This 491-nucleotide ribosomal RNA is filed under the name uncultured bacterium. Its description in RNAcentral is "bacterial SSU rRNA". It matches the Rfam family "Bacterial small subunit ribosomal RNA", at positions 36 to 524 of the family's 1533-position model. The record is from RNAcentral.